This 1738-nucleotide ribosomal RNA is filed under the name Candidatus Curtissbacteria bacterium GW2011_GWC2_41_21. Its description in RNAcentral is "bacterial SSU rRNA". The stretch from base 1 to 935 matches the Rfam family "Bacterial small subunit ribosomal RNA", at positions 569 to 1533 of the family's 1533-position model. Lineage: Bacteria; Candidatus Curtissiibacteriota. The record is from RNAcentral.
GCGUAGGCGUCCAGCUGCAUCUUGUCUGAAAGCCCUCCGCUUAACGGGGGAUCCGGACAGGAAAUGGGCUGGAUUUGAGGUUCAUAGAGGUAGCCGGAACUUGCAGUGGAGCGGUGAAAUGCGUUGAUAUUGCAAGGAACACCGAUGGCGUAGGCAGGCUACUGGGUGAAAUCUGACGCUGAUGCACGAAAGCUAGGGGAGCGAAGCGGAUUAGAGACCCGCGUAGUCCUAGCCGUAAACGAUGGACACUAGCUGUCCGCCAAUUGGUGGAUGGCGCAAGCUAACGCGUUAAGUGUCCCGCCUGGGGAGUACGGCCGCAAGGCUAAAACUCAAAGGAAUUGACGGGGACCCGCACAAGCGGUGGAGCAUGUGGUUUAAUUCGAAACAAAGCGAAAAACCUUACCAGGGUUUGACAUCCUAACUGCACGUUCGCCGAAAGGCGGAUUUCUUCGAGAGUGUUAGGACAGGUGCUGCAUGGCUGUCGUCAGCUUGUACCGUGAGGCGCACCCUUAAGUGGGUUAACAAGCGCAACCCCCAUCCCAUGUUAAAUAUCAUGGGAAACUGCCCGCUAAAAGCGAGGAGGAAGGCGGGGAUGACGUCAAGUCAGCACGGCCCUUAUGCCCUGGGCUACACACAUCCUACAAUGGGUGUAUAACAACGGGUUUGCAACUAGGUAACUGGAAGCUAAUCCUCCAAAAGCAUCCUCAGUUCGGAUUGAGGGCUGCAAUUCGCCCUCAUGAAGCUGAAAUCGCUAGUAAUCGCGGAUCAGCAGGCCGCGGUGAAUACGUUCUCGGGUCUUGUACACACCGCCCGUCAAGCCAACAAAGUCGGGGGUGCCCGAAGUGUCUAUUUUUAGGCCCUAAGGCAAAACCGGCGAUGGGGACUAAGUCGUUUGAUCAAUCUGAUCGUUGCGACCUUGGAGAGUAAUCUCCUCGAAAAAUUUGGCUAUAUCGGUGAAACUCCUACUUGAUUUUCGGAUUAUCUUCGGGUAAUCUGAUAUUAAGGGACAAUACCGAGGGAACCUUCUCUAAAAGAAAGAAGGACUCCGUAGAGACUACACGCCAACCCCUUAUAUCAGCAGGUCAACUUGAAACUUCGUUUCAAUAUUGCACCUCUGAUAUAUCAGGAUCAGCGAAGCUGAUGGCUGAUAUGACAAAGGCAUAUUUACUGGGAGCAUUACAUGAUGCGACUAUUCGUAAAAUAACCUAUCGAAUAGGUGCGAAAGAUUUAUCUUAUGCAGAAUUUCUAAAAAAGGGGAUUACUGCACUAGGACAUAAAGCAUGGAUUUACAAGGAAGGCAAAAGUAGAAAUUACUACAUUGUUGAAUUUGUUAAAUCAAUACUUGAUCAAGUAGCACUAAAGUCCUUCGAUGAUAAAAUAGAUUAUAUUCGAGGUUAUUUUGAUACGGAUGGUGGUAUAGCAAGGUCAAAAAAUGUGCGAUAUUAUUUGUAUUUUGCACAAAAGAAUAAAAAUGAUCUUGCAAAUGUAAAGAAUUAUUUAGAACAACUUAACAUUAGUUGCGGAAUAAUUCACAAUCCUAGUAAAAGUAAAGAUGCCAGUUACUUCCGAUUCUUCAUUAAAGCAGAAUCUUAUCAAAGAUUUGCUGAAGUUAUCGGAUCGUGGCAUCCAAUAAAGUCUAAGUUUUUAAGGGUGAAGAUAUAGUCCAUGCCUGGCAGUAAUGUCGGGGUAAACAUGAACAAGGUAUCCGUUCUGGAAGGAGCGGAUGGAUCACCUCCUU